AGUGAACGCUGGCGGUAGGCCUAACACAUGCAAGUCGAACGGCAGCACAGUAAGAGCUUGCUCUUACGGGUGGCGAGUGGCGGACGGGUGAGGAAUACAUCGGAAUCUACUUUUUCGUGGGGGAUAACGUAGGGAAACUUACGCUAAUACCGCAUACGACCUACGGGUGAAAGCAGGGGAUCUUCGGACCUUGCGCGAUUGAAUGAGCCGAUGUCGGAUUAGCUAGUUGGCGGGGUAAAGGCCCACCAAGGCGACGAUCCGUAGCUGGUCUGAGAGGAUGAUCAGCCACACUGGAACUGGGACACGGUCCAGGCUCCUACGGGAGGCAGCAGUGGGGAAUAUUGGACAAUGGGCGCAAGCCUGAUCCAGCCAUACCGCGUGGGUUAAGAAGGCCUUCGGGUUGUAAAGCCCUUUUGUUGGGAAAGAAAAGCAGCAGGUUAAUACCCCGCUGUUCUGACGGUACCCAAAGAAUAAGCACCGGCUAACUUCGUG
Molecule: ribosomal RNA, 492 nt
Filed under: uncultured bacterium
Lineage: Bacteria
Description: partial 16S ribosomal RNA
Rfam family: Bacterial small subunit ribosomal RNA
Source: RNAcentral